Long non-coding RNA from Phragmites australis (common reed), 586 nucleotides. RefSeq lists it as uncharacterized. The record is from RefSeq and is a predicted model, not a curated record. NCBI's taxonomy places the organism in Eukaryota, Viridiplantae, Streptophyta, Magnoliopsida, Poales, Poaceae. The transcript has 2 exons.
UUUAGGUAGCAAAGGCUCGCUUUGGCUUUAAAAAAUCGUUUCUGCAAGAAAGCCCUCGAAUCUCAGAGGCAGCGAUGCUUCCAAAUAAAAGCGCCCAAUGGGAGCUUCCUCUUCUCUCCCUCUUAAGCCCACGUAUGCCCGGCCCGGGCAGGGCACGCUGGCUCCAUUAUCCGCGCACACCAUCAAUGGGUAUCUGCACGUCAGGCGCCGCAUAAUAAGCGUGGACUCAUCGUGGUCAUGGAGGCUAGCUACUUCCCUUCCUGAGGAGUGACGGCCAUGCAUGGCCUCGUCGAUAGCGACGGCCUUAUUUUCCUCUCUAGCUACUAAGGUAGGGCAACUUGUAUCCUUUGGCAAUUGUUCGCGGGGGGGGUGUCGAUCUCUUGGGGGUGGGGUGAAGAUUGGAGGAUGAUGAACCUUGUGUUCUUGGCGAUAUCAAGGGGGUGAUGGAAAGUGGUGUGAUGGUUCUGGCUAUAUCUUGUGUUCUUUGUUCUAAUAAUUAGUCCAUUAGCGUUGUGUUGCAUGCUACUCCUUUGCUACCCCGUACCUCUAUUGACCACUGUCAUCAAUAAAAUGAUUUUGAAUAUAU